Non-coding RNA from Lampris incognitus (smalleye Pacific opah), 393 nucleotides. The record is from the annotation of a RefSeq genome assembly. Lineage: Eukaryota; Metazoa; Chordata; Actinopteri; Lampriformes; Lampridae.
UUGGCUGCUAUGUGCUUUGAAUGCAGAGCUCAAAAAGACAACGUGCUCCAACCCAAAGGAGGUAUAACUGUUAGUGAGGGAGAGACAGUAACACUGGACUGUCACUAUAACACCAGUGGCACAAAUACAAAUCUUUACUGGUACAGACAAGCUGCAAACGACAAGCCCACAUUCAUUCUGAGCCGCAUUACUGCUGAAUCAGGGAACACAGGGGACGGGUUCAAGGAGAGAUUUGAUUCCAGCCUGGAUUCCAGCUCAAGAUCAGUUCCUCUGAAGAUCCAGAGUCUGCAGCUGUCUGACUCUGCUGUGUACUACUGUGCUCUGAGGCCCACAGUGACAGUUCCAGUUAUCAGCAAACCAUCCAGUCCCUCCAAGACAGAGUACAUGGUCUAG